This 292-nucleotide ribosomal RNA is filed under the name uncultured bacterium. RNAcentral describes it as "partial 16S ribosomal RNA". It matches the Rfam family "Bacterial small subunit ribosomal RNA", at positions 505 to 796 of the family's 1533-position model. The record is from RNAcentral.
GUGCCAGCCGCCGCGGUAAUACAGAGGGUGCAAGCGUUAAUCGGAAUUACUGGGCGUAAAGCGCGCGUAGGUGGUUUGUUAAGUUGGAUGUGAAAGCCCCGGGCUCAACCUGGGAACUGCAUCCAAAACUGGCAAGCUAGAGUACGGUAGAGGGUGGUGGAAUUUCCUGUGUAGCGGUGAAAUGCGUAGAUAUAGGAAGGAACACCAGUGGCGAAGGCGACCACCUGGACUGAUACUGACACUGAGGUGCGAAAGCGUGGGGAGCAAACAGGAUUAGAUACCCUAGUAGUCC